UACGUAGGGUGCGAGCGUUAAUCGGAAUUACUGGGCGUAAAGUGUGCGCAGGCCGCCGAGCAAGUCGAGUGUGAAAUCCCUCGGCCUAACCGGGGAACUGCGUCUGAAACUGUUCGGCUCGAGUCCGGGAGAGGGUAGUGGAAUUCCCAGUGUAGCGGUGAAAUGCGUAGAUAUUGGGAGGAACACCGGUGGCGAAGGCGGCUACCUGGACCGGUACUGACGCUGAUGUGCGAAAGCCAGGGUAGCAAACGGG
This 253-nucleotide ribosomal RNA is filed under the name uncultured prokaryote. Its description in RNAcentral is "partial 16S ribosomal RNA". It matches the Rfam family "Bacterial small subunit ribosomal RNA", at positions 524 to 776 of the family's 1533-position model. The record is from RNAcentral.